This is a long non-coding RNA of Magallana angulata, 3381 nucleotides long. RefSeq lists it as uncharacterized. NCBI's taxonomy places the organism in Eukaryota, Metazoa, Mollusca, Bivalvia, Ostreida, Ostreidae. The transcript has 3 exons. The record is from RefSeq and is a predicted model, not a curated record.
CCGUUAAAUAUUUUAUUGUUUUUCCAUCAAAUAAAGAAAAUUAAUGCACAGAGAAAAAGGCUAUCGUGUUCGUGUAUAAUCAACAAUCUGUCCUGGAGAAUUCAUUUUAUUUCAAAUAUCAAUUUUUUAUUCAUAACCUUGUCAGUUGAUAGCCUCUAUGCUUAUACUCUCUUUAUUUUCUCAAUGAAUGAAAACAGACACAUUAAUGGCAGAUUAGUUUGUUUGAGUAUGGAAAUCAUAUACAGCAUGCCUCCCACCCCCAUCGCUGGCAUUUGGCCCCUACGUCGCUGCGUAGUAUUAAUUAAUGUGCCCUGUGCGCUUCUGCAAUGGUUAUUUUAAUCAAUUCAUCGGGCAAUCUGCUGGAUUCUGUAUCGUAUAAUCGCUGUCACAAAUAAAACUGUCAUGAUGAUAUAUAAAUUUACUGGCCCUGAGCAUGAAUAAUUUUCCAUUAUUAUUACUUUUUUUAUAUGACCAGGUAUUCCAGCAUGCUAAUAUCAUUUCAAAUCCCAGCCAGAAUUUUUUUUUAAAUCCCCCAUUUUUUUUUUAUUAUGGACUAUUAUACAUGCUGGGCAAGUAAUUUCUUAAAGUUGAUGAAUAAUCAUCCUUCAGAUUUUUUUCCCCCAUUAAAAACAUUUAUGACAUCAUCAUAUAUCUUCUUGUCCAUGUGCAAAAAAUAAAAUACAUAAACAAAAAUUCAUAUCGCAAAAAAUAUUUUUUUUUUAUCAAAAUGGACUGUUUUUCAACCGCUCUAAGGCCAAGGUCUAAUAUUUCAUCAAUACUAUGUGUCACAGGUAUCAUUUCUCCCUUUCUCAUAAAUUAGAGAGAUAGAAGGAUUAAAGGUCAUAAUAUAUUUAGCAGAAUGAGUAAAUCCUGCUGGGACCCCUUUUUUGACAUCCAGGUCACUGCCAGCAGCUGUACCUUGAGAUACUAUCUCGAGAUAUCUCACUAAUUGUAACAGACAGAGAUGCAUCACCCACUCCGUGACUCCAACAACCAAUACCAGAUAGACAAAAAGAGGCGUCCAUUCCUCAAGAACUUCGGAAUUAUCAGUUUGGGUAACGUUGUAAAAAUGGCAAUGACAAGACGAGAUUGGUUUGGCUGUCAAAACAAAUGCAUAAAGUAUAUCCGAAAUCUUCCGACUGCUACAGAAUCCAGGCCCAUAGCCGUAUCACUGCCUGCAUAAUCUGAUUGAAUUAUCUCCCCUGAUAAUCACGACCUCACUACCAACAUACAAAUAUAUACCAGUACAACCCCUGUGAUCUUUGGAAAUCAGAAACAAUAGCAUGAAAUGUAUAACAAUUUAUGAUAAGUCACGGGGCACAUGUUUACUAGUCGUAAACCUAUAUUCAGCGGAGAAACAAUUCCAGGUUAAAGACUUGGGGGCUGGGUUUAUGAUAACAUAGCAGUGAUACCACCGAGUCUAUGAUGUUGUCAUUGUAUGCAAGUUUUAUUUUUUGUUCUCAGCAGGAUUAGAUUUGAACAGAAUUCUAAAAAUUGAGCUACAGAGGCGGGAAAAAGUAGAAAGAGCACCGUUUCACCAUUAGCUGCUGCACACAUCGUAUCUCCAGACAUCAACAAUGUGUGCACCUACAUGCCACUAUAUGCAAGCACAAUGACAUCUGACAGAAGUGCCUGCAUUGUGAGGAGAGAUGGUGUAAUUCUAGAUGAUGUAAUUAGUUUUUUCCAUUUAGAGACUUGGAGAGGGUGCUUCAUAGUCCCCUCCCCUCAUGACUGUCACCCUACCAGCUCCUCAAAAUCCUGCCCACAAUUUUAAAUUCUGACUUUUAUCACCUCUUUAUCGGUAUUAUCUAUUAAAGGUGUGUAAAAUAACAGAGUGGCAUUUUCUGGUAAUAUCUACUGAGUUUUUAAAGGUCUGAACCACAAGGAGAAAAAAAAACUGUUUAAAGAAAAAUAUUAUUGCUGAACAGCAUCAAAUUCCCUGACAGACAAAUUUAUGGCAGGGUGAGAAAUUAGAAAAACUUUUCAAAUCCCAAGGUGUCUCAGUUUACAGUUAAACUAUUUCGUUUUGAGUUCUUGAGGUAGAAAUCUCCACCUCAUUGUGUUGUUUUUGUGGACUGGUGUCUUCCUAAUGACAGCAUGUCAAAACUGACCUAUUAUCGAAUACUGGAUGUUGAGCAGACUUUCUCCUUGAAAUGUCCAUGGAACACAAUAACAAUUGAUAUCCUAAUCCAAUGCUGAAUUGCACAAUAAAUGAAAAACUUGUUUAUUAAAAAUAAUCAUUGAAUUUCGCUUUGCCUCCGCUCGGGGAACGGUAUUCAACUCUGCACAAUAUUGAAUAGCCAAUUCUAAUAUUGAUAAAAACUUGUGUAAAAAAUCCAUACAAACAAUUUCCUCUCAAGUUAAAUGGGAAAAUUGACAGAUUAGCUUUGCACUAUGAAAAUGAAAUGAGUUUUCUAAUACAUAAUCUUUGUCGUUCUCCGCGACCCUAAUUUCCUGCUGUGAAGAAUUUGUGCACCCAAAAAGAGGGUGGUUGGCAUUCUACCCUUUUGUUCCGUCCAUGUCACUCCUCUAAGUGGUAUUGAAAAAUCUAUAGGCGAGUUGAAUCUCCUUUUACAAGGAGGAAAAUAAUUAACGAGUUUAAAGAUAUAGAAAAUGCAGUUUACAAUUGUGUACCGAAAAUAGAGCUAGAGAUACUUGCUCCUAUUGUUCAAAUUUGUGAGCUCUUUACACAGUUGGAAAACAGAAGAAUUGCAGAUGAGAUUUGAACAUGUGGCAGACAUAUUGGAUUGGACCCAGCAUCUCCAUCGAAAAAAAAAAAAAAACGAGAAAUCCAUGAAUAAUGACACUUGUCAAAAAUCAUUAGAGUAAAUCUGCGAUAAAAAAAGCGGAUUUACAGCGCGAGGAAAAAGAGCGAGGCAGAAAGCAUUUUAUUUAUCUACGGCACUAGAUGGUGUCACUUCCUAUCACAACUCUGCAAACACAUGAAUCUCUUUACGGAGAUCGAUACUACUACCACUAGCAGAUAAUGGCGCUGCACUUACCUAAUUCUUAUUACACUAAUAUUCAGACAAGAAUCCUAAUUAUUCAAGUUUGAUAAGAAUCUAGUUGACAAAUAGGAUGCAUUAGGAGGACUCUUCACCACUACAAGAUCAAUUAACAGCUUUGUUAUCUGUCGGUUCUCAUAAUUCCCCCCAAAAAAUCAAUUUGGACUGUCUGGAAAAAAUUAUGACUUUUGUUGGAAAUGACUUCAUCCUUUUUUUAUUAACUUUGUUGGGUAAAUGCAUCUAUUUUUUUUUAUGUAAGAAUACGAAAACAGCCAUAAACUCAUCUUAUCUUGCAAAAAAUUGUCAGAAAUAUUCAAAGUGAACUAACCUUCAAAUUCUUGAAAAUUUUGCACCCAAAGGUUGCUUUUUCCAUGCU